GAAAAUUUUCAACGGUGGAUAUCUUGGUUCCCAUAUCGAUGAAGAACGCAGCGAAAUGCGAUACGCAAUGCGAAUUGCAGAAUUCCGCGAGUCAUCAGAUCUUUGAACGCAAUUGGCGCCGGUUCUGCCGGCAUGCCCGCUUCAGUUU
Molecule: ribosomal RNA, 148 nt
Filed under: Paratetrahymena wassi
Lineage: Eukaryota; Ciliophora; Oligohymenophorea; Philasterida; Loxocephalidae
Description: 5.8S ribosomal RNA
Rfam family: 5.8S ribosomal RNA
About the family: 5.8S ribosomal RNA (5.8S rRNA) is a component of the large subunit of the eukaryotic ribosome.
Source: RNAcentral